RNAcentral lists this ribosomal RNA (447 nucleotides) under uncultured bacterium. Its description in RNAcentral is "partial 16S ribosomal RNA". It matches the Rfam family "Bacterial small subunit ribosomal RNA", at positions 29 to 523 of the family's 1533-position model. The record is from RNAcentral.
AACGAACGCUGGCGGCAGGCUUAACACAUGCAAGUCGAACGCCCCGCAAGGGGAGUGGCAGACGGGUGAGUAACGCGUGGGAAUCUACCCAACUAUGCGGAAUAGCUCCGGGAAACUGGAAUUAAUACCGCAGUCGCCCUACGGGGGAAAGAUUUAUCGGGGAUGGAUGAGCCGGCGUUGGAUUAGCUAGUUGGUGGGGUAAAGGCCUACCAAGGCGACGACCCAUAGCUGGUCUGAGAGGAUGAUCAGCCACAAUGGGACUGAGACACGGCCCAAACGCCUACGGGAGGCAGCAGUGGGGAAUAUUGGACAAUGGGCGCAAGACUGAUCCAGCCAUGCCGCGUGAGUGAUGAAGGCCUUAGGGUUGUAAAGCUCUUCCACCGGUGAAGAUAAUGACGGUAACCGGAGAAGAAGCCCCGGCUAACUUCGUGCCAGCCGCCGCAGUAA